CCAACUCCUACGGGAGGCAGCAGUGGGGAAUAUUGCACAAUGGGCGCAAGCCUGAUGCAGCGACGCCGCGUGAGGGAUGGAGGCCUUCGGGUUGUAAACCUCUUUCGCCAGUGAAGCAGGCCUGCUCCUUGUGGGUGGGUUGACGGUAGCUGGAUAAGAAGCGCCGGCUAACUACGUGCCAGCAGCCGCGGUAAUACGUAGGGCGCGAGCGUUGUCCGGAAUUAUUGGGCGUAAAGAGCUCGUAGGCGGCUGGUCGCGUCUGUCGUGAAAUCCUCUGGCUUAACUGGGGGCUUGCGGUGGGUACGGGCCGGCUUGAGUGCGGUAGGGGAGACUGGAACUCCUGGUGUAGCGGUGGAAUGCGCAGAUAUCAGGAAGAACACCGGUGGCGAAGGCGGGUCUCUGGGCCGUUACUGACGCUGAGGAGCGAAAGCGUGGGGAGCGAACAGGAUUAGAUACCCUGGUAGUCCACGCCGUAAACGUUGGGCACUAGGUGUGGGGGGCCUUUUCCGGGUCUUCCGCGCCGUAGCUAACGCAUUAAGUGCCCCGCCUGGGGAGUACGGCCGCAAGGCUAAAACUCAAAGGAAUUGACGGGGGCCCGCACAAG
RNAcentral lists this ribosomal RNA (604 nucleotides) under uncultured bacterium. RNAcentral describes it as "bacterial SSU rRNA". It matches the Rfam family "Bacterial small subunit ribosomal RNA", at positions 332 to 929 of the family's 1533-position model. The record is from RNAcentral.